UACGUAGGGGGCGAGCGUUGUCCGGAUUUAUUGGGCGUACAGAGCUCGUAGGCGGUUUGGUAAGUUGGCUGUGAAAUCUCCAGGCUCAACUUGGAGGGGUCAUUCGAUACUGCCAUGACUAGAGUUCGGUAGGGGAGUGUGGAAUUCCUGGUGUAGCGGUGAAAUGCGUAGAUAUUGGGAAGAACACCGGUGGCGAAGGCGGCUCACUGGCUCAUAUCUGACGCUCAGGCGCGACAGCGUGGGGAUCAAACAGG
This 254-nucleotide ribosomal RNA is filed under the name uncultured bacterium. Its description in RNAcentral is "partial 16S ribosomal RNA". It matches the Rfam family "Bacterial small subunit ribosomal RNA", at positions 524 to 776 of the family's 1533-position model. The record is from RNAcentral.